This 435-nucleotide ribosomal RNA is filed under the name uncultured Clostridium sp. RNAcentral describes it as "partial 16S ribosomal RNA". It matches the Rfam family "Bacterial small subunit ribosomal RNA", at positions 341 to 792 of the family's 1533-position model. The record is from RNAcentral. Lineage: Bacteria; Bacillati; Bacillota; Clostridia; Eubacteriales; Clostridiaceae.
ACGGGAGGCAGCAGUGGGGAAUAUUGCGCAAUGGGGGAAACCCUGACGCAGCAACGCCGCGUGAAGGAUGAAGGUUUUCGGAUUGUAAACUUCUUUGACUGGGGACGAAAUUUGACGGUACCCAGAAAACAAGUCACGGCUAACUACGUGCCAGCAGCCGCGGUAAUACGUAGGUGACAAGCGUUAUCCGGAUUUACUGGGUGUAAAGGGCGUGUAGGCGGGUUUGCAAGUCAGAUGUGAAAUCCCGGGGCUCAACUCCGGAACUGCAUCUGAAACUGUAGAUCUUGAGUAUCGGAGAGGCAAGCGGAAUUCCUAGUGUAGCGGUGAAAUGCGUAGAUAUUAGGAGGAACACCAGUGGCGAAGGCGGCUUGCUGGACGAAAACUGACGCUGAGGCGCGAAAGCGUGGGGAGCAAACAGGAUUAGAUACCCUGGUA